Molecule: ribosomal RNA, 2763 nt
Filed under: Escherichia coli
Lineage: Bacteria; Pseudomonadati; Pseudomonadota; Gammaproteobacteria; Enterobacterales; Enterobacteriaceae
Description: bacterial LSU rRNA
Rfam family: Bacterial large subunit ribosomal RNA
Source: RNAcentral
ACACUAUCAUUAACUGAAUCCAUAGGUUAAUGAGGCGAACCGGGGGAACUGAAACAUCUAAGUACCCCGAGGAAAAGAAAUCAACCGAGAUUCCCCCAGUAGCGGCGAGCGAACGGGGAGCAGCCCAGAGCCUGAAUCAGUGUGUGUGUUAGUGGAAGCGUCUGGAAAGGCGCGCGAUACAGGGUGACAGCCCCGUACACAAAAAUGCACAUGCUGUGAGCUCGAUGAGUAGGGCGGGACACGUGGUAUCCUGUCUGAAUAUGGGGGGACCAUCCUCCAAGGCUAAAUACUCCUGACUGACCGAUAGUGAACCAGUACCGUGAGGGAAAGGCGAAAAGAACCCCGGCGAGGGGAGUGAAAAAGAACCUGAAACCGUGUACGUACAAGCAGUGGGAGCACAGAGCAAUCUGUGUGACUGCGUACCUUUUGUAUAAUGGGUCAGCGACUUAUAUUCUGUAGCAAGGUUAACCGAAUAGGGGAGCCGAAGGGAAACCGAGUCUUAACUGGGCGUUAAGUUGCAGGGUAUAGACCCGAAACCCGGUGAUCUAGCCAUGGGCAGGUUGAAGGUUGGGUAACACUAACUGGAGGACCGAACCGACUAAUGUUGAAAAAUUAGCGGAUGACUUGUGGCUGGGGGUGAAAGGCCAAUCAAACCGGGAGAUAGCUGGUUCUCCCCGAAAGCUAUUUAGGUAGCGCCUCGUGAAUUCAUCUCCGGGGGUAGAGCACUGUUUCGGCAAGGGGGUCAUCCCGACUUACCAACCCGAUGCAAACUACGAAUACCGGAGAAUGUUAUCACGGGAGACACACGGCGGGUGCUAACGUCCGUCGUGAAGAGGGAAACAACCCAGACCGCCAGCUAAGGUCCCAAAGUCAUGGUUAAGUGGGAAACGAUGUGGGAAGGCCCAGACAGCCAGGAUGUUGGCUUAGAAGCAGCCAUCAUUUAAAGAAAGCGUAAUAGCUCACUGGUCGAGUCGGCCUGCGCGGAAGAUGUAACGGGGCUAAACCAUGCACCGAAGCUGCGGCAGCGACGCUUAUGCGUUGUUGGGUAGGGGAGCGUUCUGUAAGCCUGCGAAGGUGUGCUGUGAGGCAUGCUGGAGGUAUCAGAAGUGCGAAUGCUGACAUAAGUAACGAUAAAGCGGGUGAAAAGCCCGCUCGCCGGAAGACCAAGGGUUCCUGUCCAACGUUAAUCGGGGCAGGGUGAGUCGACCCCUAAGGCGAGGCCGAAAGGCGUAGUCGAUGGGAAACAGGUUAAUAUUCCUGUACUUGGUGUUACUGCGAAGGGGGGACGGAGAAGGCUAUGUUGGCCGGGCGACGGUUGUCCCGGUUUAAGCGUGUAGGCUGGUUUUCCAGGCAAAUCCGGAAAAUCAAGGCUGAGGCGUGAUGACGAGGCACUACGGUGCUGAAGCAACAAAUGCCCUGCUUCCAGGAAAAGCCUCUAAGCAUCAGGUAACAUCAAAUCGUACCCCAAACCGACACAGGUGGUCAGGUAGAGAAUACCAAGGCGCUUGAGAGAACUCGGGUGAAGGAACUAGGCAAAAUGGUGCCGUAACUUCGGGAGAAGGCACGCUGAUAUGUAGGUGAAGUCCCUCGCGGAUGGAGCUGAAAUCAGUCGAAGAUACCAGCUGGCUGCAACUGUUUAUUAAAAACACAGCACUGUGCAAACACGAAAGUGGACGUAUACGGUGUGACGCCUGCCCGGUGCCGGAAGGUUAAUUGAUGGGGUUAGCGCAAGCGAAGCUCUUGAUCGAAGCCCCGGUAAACGGCGGCCGUAACUAUAACGGUCCUAAGGUAGCGAAAUUCCUUGUCGGGUAAGUUCCGACCUGCACGAAUGGCGUAAUGAUGGCCAGGCUGUCUCCACCCGAGACUCAGUGAAAUUGAACUCGCUGUGAAGAUGCAGUGUACCCGCGGCAAGACGGAAAGACCCCGUGAACCUUUACUAUAGCUUGACACUGAACAUUGAGCCUUGAUGUGUAGGAUAGGUGGGAGGCUUUGAAGUGUGGACGCCAGUCUGCAUGGAGCCGACCUUGAAAUACCACCCUUUAAUGUUUGAUGUUCUAACGUGGACCCGUAAUCCGGGUUGCGGACAGUGUCUGGUGGGUAGUUUGACUGGGGCGGUCUCCUCCUAAAGAGUAACGGAGGAGCACGAAGGUUGGCUAAUCCUGGUCGGACAUCAGGAGGUUAGUGCAAUGGCAUAAGCCAGCUUGACUGCGAGCGUGACGGCGCGAGCAGGUGCGAAAGCAGGUCAUAGUGAUCCGGUGGUUCUGAAUGGAAGGGCCAUCGCUCAACGGAUAAAAGGUACUCCGGGGAUAACAGGCUGAUACCGCCCAAGAGUUCAUAUCGACGGCGGUGUUUGGCACCUCGAUGUCGGCUCAUCACAUCCUGGGGCUGAAGUAGGUCCCAAGGGUAUGGCUGUUCGCCAUUUAAAGUGGUACGCGAGCUGGGUUUAGAACGUCGUGAGACAGUUCGGUCCCUAUCUGCCGUGGGCGCUGGAGAAUUGAGGGGGGCUGCUCCUAGUACGAGAGGACCGGAGUGGACGCAUCACUGGUGUUCGGGUUGUCAUGCCAAUGGCACUGCCCGGUAGCUAAAUGCGGAAGAGAUAAGUGCUGAAAGCAUCUAAGCACGAAACUUGCCCCGAGAUGAGUUCUCCCUGACUCCUUGAGAGUCCUGAAGGAACGUUGAAGACGACGACGUUGAUAGGCCGGGUGUGUAAGCGCAGCGAUGCGUUGAGCUAACCGGUACUAAUGAACCGUGAGGCUUAACCUU